GAAUCAACGCUGGCGGCGUGCCUCAGACAUGCAAGUCGAACGCGAAAGUUCCCUUCGGGGAGCAAGUAGAGUGGCGCACGGGUGAGUAACACGUAGGUAAUUUGCCUUCGGGUGGGGAAUAACAGUCGGAAACGACUGCUAAUACCGCAUAAUGCAGCGGCUCGACAUCGAGACAGUUGUUAAAGCGGGGGAUCCUUCGGGACCUCGCGCCUGAAGAGAAGCCUGCGGCAGAUUAGCUAGUUGGUGAGGUAAUGGCCCACCAAGGCUACGAUCUGUAACCGGCCUGAGAGGGCGGUCGGUCACACUGACACUGACAUACGGGUCAGACUCC
This 331-nucleotide ribosomal RNA is filed under the name uncultured bacterium. RNAcentral describes it as "bacterial SSU rRNA". It matches the Rfam family "Bacterial small subunit ribosomal RNA", at positions 27 to 339 of the family's 1533-position model. The record is from RNAcentral.